This 950-nucleotide long non-coding RNA is filed under the name Ficedula albicollis (Collared flycatcher). RNAcentral's name for it is "lncRNA (ENSFALG00000026659.1)". Lineage: Eukaryota; Metazoa; Chordata; Aves; Passeriformes; Muscicapidae. The record is from RNAcentral.
UUCCUUAUGUUUAAAUCAAUUGUAUUGUGGGAGACAACAAAUAAAUGGUUUUUUCCCAUUUACUUCUUUCCACAGUCUCCUGUCUCUGUAUGUACAGAGACUAGAAUCUUUCUGCAGUUUCUCUAGGGAUGAUAAGAGCAAGGCUUUUUUCCUCUACAAAUAUAUACGACUUUGCUGAAUUAAUAGAAACAUGGAAAAGGAGGACGAGCAGUAAAUGCAACUCACAGGACUGGUUUUGCUCUUUCUCUGUUUUCCUUGUGGAGAGAAAAUUCCUUCAAGAGGCCAAUAUCAAUGUAUCCUGCUGUUGCUUUCAGCUCCAUCAUCUCUACUCAAAGGCUCUUAAGAGAACAGUUUGCCUGCACACCUGGAGAUCUCACAUCUGUGUUUGCAGUCUGGGAGCCAACAGCUGCCUGAUUGUAUUCACUCAGAAUGGAGAGUUCCUGCUUCAUGGGAAACCACGGUGACCCUGACUGUGGCAUCGUCACAACUUCUCCAGUCGAAUGAGAGCAGUUGGGUGGGCAGCUGGCCACAGAGACAGCCCACCACAAUCACAACAGAAAUUGUUACACUUGAGGAAUCACUCUGGGUAAGUACAGCUACUCAGCUUGCUUAUUUUUACCACUCCAAGCUAUAUGUGCUUAGUUGCCAUGUUUUGCUUCUGCAGACAAAUUGCCACCCAAUUGUUUCUACAACUGUGCAGAUGUACAGUGAACUCAGAAGACAUUCAGAGAAGCUGCAGCUCACUCUGUUCCCAUCAAUAAGCUGCUUUCCUGCAGCUUCUGCAAACUGCUAAUUCAAUUUAGAAUUAAAAGCUUUCAGAUACCUUUAAGGUAAAAUUAAAGAUCAGAUAUUGGCAUGCAAAGUUUGAAUUGCUUCCCCAUCUAGGACCCAGGUUUGUUUUUUUUUCCAGAGACCUUUUAAUAUUUUGUCCUAUGCUGACCUAAAGGAGU